GUCAGGAUGAACGCUGGCGGCGUGCCUAACACAUGCAAGUCGAACGGAGUAAUUAAGCGGAAGUUUCGGAUGGAAGCAUAGUACUUAGUGGCGGACGGGUGAGUAACGCGUGGGCAACCUGCCCUGUACCGGGGGAUAACACUUAGAAAUAGGUGCUAAUACCGCAUAAGCGCACAGCUUCGCAUGAAGGUGUGUGAAAAACUCCGGUGGUACAGGAUGGACCCGCGUCUGAUUAGCUAGUUGGUGGGGUAGAGGCCUACCAAGGCGACGAUCAGUAGCCGGCCUGAGAGGGUGACCGGCCACAUUGGGACUGAGACACGGCCCAAACUCCUACGGGAGGCAGCAGUGGGGAAUAUUGCACAAUGGGGGAAACCCUGAUGCAAGCGACGCCGCGUGAGUGAAGAAGUAUUUCGGUAUGUAAAGCUCUAUCAGCAGGGAAGAAAAUGACGGUACCUGACUAAGAAGCCCCGGCUAACUACGUGCCAGCCGCAGC
Molecule: ribosomal RNA, 493 nt
Filed under: uncultured bacterium
Lineage: Bacteria
Description: bacterial SSU rRNA
Rfam family: Bacterial small subunit ribosomal RNA
Source: RNAcentral